This 2560-nucleotide ribosomal RNA is filed under the name Escherichia coli UMEA 3151-1. Its description in RNAcentral is "bacterial LSU rRNA". It matches the Rfam family "Bacterial large subunit ribosomal RNA", at positions 381 to 2925 of the family's 2925-position model. Lineage: Bacteria; Pseudomonadati; Pseudomonadota; Gammaproteobacteria; Enterobacterales; Enterobacteriaceae. The record is from RNAcentral.
AAAAAUGCUCAUAUUGUGAGCUCGAUGAGUAGGGCGGGACACGUGGUAUCCUGUCUGAAUAUGGGGGGACCAUCCUCCAAGGCUAAAUACUCCUGACUGACCGAUAGUGAACCAGUACCGUGAGGGAAAGGCGAAAAGAACCCCGGCGAGGGGAGUGAAAAAGAACCUGAAACCGUGUACGUACAAGCAGUGGGAGCACGCUUAGGCGUGUGACUGCGUACCUUUUGUAUAAUGGGUCAGCGACUUAUAUUCUGUAGCAAGGUUAACCGAAUAGGGGAGCCGAAGGGAAACCGAGUCUUAACUGGGCGUUAAGUUGCAGGGUAUAGACCCGAAACCCGGUGAUCUAGCCAUGGGCAGGUUGAAGGUUGGGUAACACUAACUGGAGGACCGAACCGACUAAUGUUGAAAAAUUAGCGGAUGACUUGUGGCUGGGGGUGAAAGGCCAAUCAAACCGGGAGAUAGCUGGUUCUCCCCGAAAGCUAUUUAGGUAGCGCCUCGUGAACUCAUCUCCGGGGGUAGAGCACUGUUUCGGCAAGGGGGUCAUCCCGACUUACCAACCCGAUGCAAACUGCGAAUACCGGAGAAUGUUAUCACGGGAGACACACGGCGGGUGCUAACGUCCGUCGUGAAGAGGGAAACAACCCAGACCGCCAGCUAAGGUCCCAAAGUCAUGGUUAAGUGGGAAACGAUGUGGGAAGGCCCAGACAGCCAGGAUGUUGGCUUAGAAGCAGCCAUCAUUUAAAGAAAGCGUAAUAGCUCACUGGUCGAGUCGGCCUGCGCGGAAGAUGUAACGGGGCUAAACCAUGCACCGAAGCUGCGGCAGCGACACUAUGUGUUGUUGGGUAGGGGAGCGUUCUGUAAGCCUGUGAAGGUGUGCUGUGAGGCAUGCUGGAGGUAUCAGAAGUGCGAAUGCUGACAUAAGUAACGAUAAAGCGGGUGAAAAGCCCGCUCGCCGGAAGACCAAGGGUUCCUGUCCAACGUUAAUCGGGGCAGGGUGAGUCGACCCCUAAGGCGAGGCCGAAAGGCGUAGUCGAUGGGAAACAGGUUAAUAUUCCUGUACUUGGUGUUACUGCGAAGGGGGGACGGAGAAGGCUAUGUUGGCCGGGCGACGGUUGUCCCGGUUUAAGCGUGUAGGCUGGUUUUCCAGGCAAAUCCGGAAAAUCAAGGCUGAGGCGUGAUGACGAGGCACUACGGUGCUGAAGCAACAAAUGCCCUGCUUCCAGGAAAAGCCUCUAAGCAUCAGGUAAUAUCAAAUCGUACCCCAAACCGACACAGGUGGUCAGGUAGAGAAUACCAAGGCGCUUGAGAGAACUCGGGUGAAGGAACUAGGCAAAAUGGUGCCGUAACUUCGGGAGAAGGCACGCUGAUAUGUAGGUGAAGUCCCUUGCGGAUGGAGCUGAAAUCAGUCGAAGAUACCAGCUGGCUGCAACUGUUUAUUAAAAACACAGCACUGUGCAAACACGAAAGUGGACGUAUACGGUGUGACGCCUGCCCGGUGCCGGAAGGUUAAUUGAUGGGGUCAGCGCAAGCGAAGCUCUUGAUCGAAGCCCCGGUAAACGGCGGCCGUAACUAUAACGGUCCUAAGGUAGCGAAAUUCCUUGUCGGGUAAGUUCCGACCUGCACGAAUGGCGUAAUGAUGGCCAGGCUGUCUCCACCCGAGACUCAGUGAAAUUGAACUCGCUGUGAAGAUGCAGUGUACCCGCGGCAAGACGGAAAGACCCCGUGAACCUUUACUAUAGCUUGACACUGAACAUUGAGCCUUGAUGUGUAGGAUAGGUGGGAGGCUUGGAAGUGUGGACGCCAGUCUGCAUGGAGCCGACCUUGAAAUACCACCCUUUAAUGUUUGAUGUUCUAACGUUGACCCGUAAUCCGGGUUGCGGACAGUGUCUGGUGGGUAGUUUGACUGGGGCGGUCUCCUCCUAAAGAGUAACGGAGGAGCACGAAGGUUGGCUAAUCCUGGUCGGACAUCAGGAGGUUAGUGCAAUGGCAUAAGCCAGCUUGACUGCGAGCGUGACGGCGCGAGCAGGUGCGAAAGCAGGUCAUAGUGAUCCGGUGGUUCUGAAUGGAAGGGCCAUCGCUCAACGGAUAAAAGGUACUCCGGGGAUAACAGGCUGAUACCGCCCAAGAGUUCAUAUCGACGGCGGUGUUUGGCACCUCGAUGUCGGCUCAUCACAUCCUGGGGCUGAAGUAGGUCCCAAGGGUAUGGCUGUUCGCCAUUUAAAGUGGUACGCGAGCUGGGUUUAGAACGUCGUGAGACAGUUCGGUCCCUAUCUGCCGUGGGCGCUGGAGAACUGAGGGGGGCUGCUCCUAGUACGAGAGGACCGGAGUGGACGCAUCACUGGUGUUCGGGUUGUCAUGCCAAUGGCACUGCCCGGUAGCUAAAUGCGGAAGAGAUAAGUGCUGAAAGCAUCUAAGCACGAAACUUGCCCCGAGAUGAGUUCUCCCUGACCCCUUGAGGGUCCUGAAGGAACGUUGAAGACGACGACGUUGAUAGGCCGGGUGUGUAAGCGCAGCGAUGCGUUGAGCUAACCGGUACUAAUGAACCGUGAGGCUUAACCUU